CAUUGUGGUUCCAGUGGUUUCCUUAGUUAUGCAAGUUGAUUAAUAAUGCCCUGGUGUUACAACUAUUUUUUAAAUUAUUUUUAAUUAAAAUUUUUUCAUUCACGACAUUUGCAGGUUCUGAGCAGUGAGAAACAAUUGUUGCUGAUGUAGAGUUUUGUAACGGUGGACCCCACAGUCUAUGACAGAAACAAGUAGGACAGAAAAUUCUGUCUUCAUCACUAUUAAAGAAAAAGGGAGGUUUGCAUUUGAAGGAGCAGUACUUAUUGGCAGCCAUGUAGCUUUGUAGUUGCUUCGAAGAAUUUUUUUCCUUGUCUGGUGAUUGGUUGGACUUUGAAUACCUCCUAUCCUUAUAGCCAUGGAACACUUGGCAUUGACUCCAUUUACACUUGCAGAGACAAAAACGAACAUAUUUGCAACAAGUAUUUUUUGUGACCACGAAACAAAAAAUUGUGAAUUUUUUUAAGUACCUAUAUUUAGAAGACAUCUAGCGGAGGAAUUGCUUGUUA
Daphnia carinata is the source of this 506-nucleotide long non-coding RNA. RefSeq lists it as uncharacterized. NCBI's taxonomy places the organism in Eukaryota, Metazoa, Arthropoda, Branchiopoda, Diplostraca, Daphniidae. The record is from RefSeq and is a predicted model, not a curated record. The transcript is spliced from 3 exons.